This 271-nucleotide long non-coding RNA is filed under the name Lupinus angustifolius (narrow-leaved blue lupine). RNAcentral's name for it is "long non-coding RNA (LANG_LNC000893)". The record is from RNAcentral. Lineage: Eukaryota; Viridiplantae; Streptophyta; Magnoliopsida; Fabales; Fabaceae.
AGAAUCAAUUGGUGUUCCACUAGCAAGUCCUUUAUAUGCUACUUCCUACCCACCUCCACCAUCUGCUGCUGCACAUAGUUACCCAUCUCCACCACCUGCUGCUGCACAUAGUUACCCAUCUCCACCACCUGCUGCUGCACAUAGUUACCCAUCUCCACCACCUGCUGCUGCACAUAGUUACCCAUCUCCACCACCUGCUGCUGCACAUACUUACCCAUCUCCCUAUCCUACUUCACGUUCAUAUCCCGAUCCCACUCCAUCACCAUACCCA